CUCAGAACUUAAAGGAAUUGACGGGGGCCCGCACAAGCGGCGGAGCAUGUGGAUUAAUUCGAUGCAACGCGAAGAACCUUACCUGGGGUUUGACAUACACCGGAAAACCGUAGAGAUACGGUCCCCCUUGUGGUCGGUGUACAGGUGGUGCAUGGCUGUCGUCAGCUCGUGUCGUGAGAUGUUGGGUUAAGUCCCGCAACGAGCGCAACCCUUGUCUUAUGUUGCCAGCACGUGAUGGUGGGGACUCGUAAGAGACUGCCGGGGUCAACUCGGAGGAAGGUGGGGACGACGUCAAGUCAUCAUGCCCCUUAUGUCCAGGGCUUCACACAUGCUACAAUGGCCAGUACAGAGGGCUGCGAGACCGUGAGGUGGAGCGAAUCCCUUAAAGCUGGUCUCAGUUCGGAUCGGGGUCUGCAACUCGACCCCGUGAAGUCGGAGUCGCUAGUAAUCGCAGAUCAGCAACGCUGCGGUGAAUACGUUCCCGGGCCUU
RNAcentral lists this ribosomal RNA (490 nucleotides) under uncultured Rhodococcus sp. RNAcentral describes it as "bacterial SSU rRNA". It matches the Rfam family "Bacterial small subunit ribosomal RNA", at positions 893 to 1382 of the family's 1533-position model. The record is from RNAcentral. Lineage: Bacteria; Bacillati; Actinomycetota; Actinomycetes; Mycobacteriales; Nocardiaceae.